AUUGAACGCUGGCGGCAGGCCUAACACAUGCAAGUCGAACGGUAACAGGAAGAAGCUUGCUUCUUUGCUGACGAGUGGCGGACGGGUGAGUAAUGUCUGGGAAACUGCCUGAUGGAGGGGGAUAACUACUGGAAACGGUAGCUAAUACCGCAUAACGUCGCAAGACCAAAGAGGGGGACCUUCGGGCCUCUUGCCAUCGGAUGUGCCCAGGUGGGCUUAGCUAGUAGGUGGGGUAACGGCUCACCUAGGCGACGAUCCCUAGCUGGUCUGAGAGGAUGACCAGCCACACUGGAACUGAGACACGGUCCAGACUCCUACGGGAGGCAGCAGUGGGGAAUAUUGCACAAUGGGCGCAAGCCUGAUGCAGCCAUGCCGCGUGUAUGAAGAAGGCCUUCGGGUUGUAAAGUACUUUCAGCGGGGAGGAAGGGAGUAAAGUUAAUACCUUUGCUCAUUGACGUUACCCGCAGAAGAAGCACCGGCUAACUCCGUG
RNAcentral lists this ribosomal RNA (490 nucleotides) under uncultured bacterium. RNAcentral describes it as "partial 16S ribosomal RNA". It matches the Rfam family "Bacterial small subunit ribosomal RNA", at positions 30 to 507 of the family's 1533-position model. The record is from RNAcentral.